GAAUUCAACUCCUACGGGAGGCAGCAGUGGGGAAUUUUGGACAAUGGGCGCAAGCCUGAUCCAGCAAUGCCGCGUGAGUGAAGAAGGCCUUCGGGUUGUAAAGCUCUUUUGUCAGGGAAGAAACGGUAGAGGCUAAUAUCCUUUGCUAAUGACGGUACCUGAAGAAUAAGCACCGGCUAACUACGUGCCAGCAGCCGCGGUAAUACGUAGGGUGCAAGCGUUAAUCGGAAUUACUGGGCGUAACGCGUGCGCAGGCGGUUUUGUAAGUCUGUCGUGAAAUCCCCGGGCUCAACCUGGGAAUUGCGGUGGAGACUGCAAGGCUAGAAUCUGGCAGAGGGGGGUAGAAUUCCACGUGUAGCAGUGAAAUGCGUAGAGAUGUGGUGGAACACCGAUGGCGAAGGCAGCCCCCUGGGUCAAGAUUGACGCUCAGGCACGAAAGCGUGGGGAGCAAGCAGGAUUAGAUACCCUAGUAGUCCAGGCGUU
Molecule: ribosomal RNA, 483 nt
Filed under: uncultured bacterium
Lineage: Bacteria
Description: bacterial SSU rRNA
Rfam family: Bacterial small subunit ribosomal RNA
Source: RNAcentral